CGGGAGGCAGAUACCUGGGCAGUCCCUGAGCAGUGCUCUGUCCGUCACUAGUCCUCCCUACAGCAUCCCUGCUCUCUGAUGACCGAGGCGAAUUGAGAGAAAUCGCCACGGACAGAUACGGAGCAGACAAUC
This is a non-coding RNA of Pungitius pungitius (ninespine stickleback), 132 nucleotides long. RefSeq annotates it as small Cajal body-specific RNA 8. The record is from RefSeq and is a predicted model, not a curated record. The transcript has a single exon. Lineage: Eukaryota; Metazoa; Chordata; Actinopteri; Perciformes; Gasterosteidae.